Molecule: ribosomal RNA, 497 nt
Filed under: uncultured bacterium
Lineage: Bacteria
Description: partial 16S ribosomal RNA
Rfam family: Bacterial small subunit ribosomal RNA
Source: RNAcentral
GAUGAACGCUGGCGGCGCGCCUAAUACAUGCAAGUCGAGCGAACAGACGAGGAGCUUGCUCCUCUGACGUUAGCGGCGGACGGGUGAGUAACACGUGGAUAACCUACCUAUAAGACUGGGAUAACUUCGGGAAACCGGAGCUAAUACCGGAUAAUAUAUUGAACCGCAUGGUUCAAUAGUGAAAGACGGUUUUGCUGUCACUUAUAGAUGGAUCCGCGCCGUAUUAGCUAGUUGGUAAGGUAACGGCUUACCAAGGCAACGAUGCGUAGCCGACCUGAGAGGGUGAUCGGCCACACUGGAACUGAGACACGGUCCAGACUCCUACGGGAGGCAGCAGUAGGGAAUCUUCCGCAAUGGGCGAAAGCUUGACGGAGCAACGCCGCGUGAGUGAUGAAGGUCUUCGGAUCGUAAAACUCUGUUAUUAGGGAAGAACAAAUGUGUAAGUAACUAUGCACGUCUUGACGGUACCUAAUCAGAAAGCCACGGCUAACUACGUG